AGCGAACGCUGGCGGCAGGCCUAAUACAUGCAAGUCGAACGAACUCUUCGGAGUUAGUGGCGGACGGGUGAGUAACACGUGGGAACGUGCCUUUUGGUUCGGAAUAACUCAGGGAAACUUGUGCUAAUACCGAAUGUGCCCUUCGGGGGAAAGAUUUAUCGCCAUUAGAGCGGCCCGCGUCUGAUUAGCUAGUUGGCGAGGUAACGGCUCACCAAGGCGACGAUCAGUAGCUGGUCUGAGAGGAUGGCCAGCCACACUGGGACUGAGACACGGCCCAGACUCCUACGGGAGGCAGCAGUGGGGAAUCUUGCGCAAUGGGCGAAAGCCUGACGCAGCCAUGCCGCGUGAAUGAUGAAGGUCUUAGGAUUGUAAAAUUCUUUCACCGGGGACGAUAAUGACGGUACCCGGAGAAGAAGCCCCGGCUAACUUCGUG
This 433-nucleotide ribosomal RNA is filed under the name uncultured bacterium. RNAcentral's name for it is "partial 16S ribosomal RNA". It matches the Rfam family "Bacterial small subunit ribosomal RNA", at positions 29 to 507 of the family's 1533-position model. The record is from RNAcentral.